RNAcentral lists this ribosomal RNA (389 nucleotides) under uncultured bacterium. RNAcentral describes it as "bacterial SSU rRNA". It matches the Rfam family "Bacterial small subunit ribosomal RNA", at positions 28 to 419 of the family's 1533-position model. The record is from RNAcentral.
GACGAACGCUGGCGGCGUGCUUAACACAUGCAAGUCGAGCGGUAAGGCCCUUUCGGGGGUACACGAGCGGCGAACGGGUGAGUAACACGUGGGUGACCUGCCCUCAGCUCUGGGAUAAGCCUGGGAAACCGGGUCUAAUACCGGAUAUGACUCCAUGACGCAUGUUGUGGGUGGAAAGCCUUGUGCGGCUGAGGAUGGGCCCGCGGCCUAUCAGCUUGUUGGUGGGGUGAUGGCCUACCAAGGCGACGACGGGUAGCCGGCCUGAGAGGGCGACCGGCCACACUGGGACUGAGACACGGCCCAGACUCCUACGGGAGGCAGCAGUGGGGAAUCUUGCGCAAUGGGCGAAAGCCUGACGCAGCGACGCCGCGUGAGGGAUGACGGCCUGG